ACGCACGCUGGCGGCGUGCUUAACACAUGCCAGUCGCACGGAAAGGCCCUGCUUUUGUGGGGUGCUCGAGUGGCGAACGGGUGAGUAACACGUGAGUAACCUGCCCUUGACUUUGGGAUAACUUCAGGAAACUGGGGCUAAUACCGGAUAGGAGCUCCUGCUGCAUGGUGGGGGUUGGAAAGUUUCGGCGGUUGGGGAUGGACUCGCGGCUUAUCAGCUUGUUGGUGGGGUAGUGGCUUACCAAGGCUUUGACGGGUAGCCGGCCUGAGAGGGUGACCGGCCACAUUGGGACUGAGAUACGGCCCAGACUCCUACGGGAGGCAGCAGUGGGGAAUAUUGCACAAUGGGCGGAAGCCUGAUGCAGUAACGCCGCGUGCGGGAUGACGGCCUUCGGGUUGUAAACCGCUUUCGCCUGUGACGAAGCGUGAGUGACGGUAAUGGGUAAAGAAGCACCGGCUAACUACGUG
Molecule: ribosomal RNA, 467 nt
Filed under: uncultured bacterium
Lineage: Bacteria
Description: partial 16S ribosomal RNA
Rfam family: Bacterial small subunit ribosomal RNA
Source: RNAcentral